GACGAACGCUGGCGGCGUGCCUAAUACAUGCAAGUAGAACGCUGAAGCUUGGUGCUUGCACCGAGCGGAUGAGUUGCGAACGGGUGAGUAACGCGUAGGUAACCUGCCUGGUAGCGGGGGAUAACUAUUGGAAACGAUAGCUAAUACCGCAUAAGAGUAGAUGUUGCAUGACAUUUGCUUAAAAGGUGCAAUUGCAUCACUACCAGAUGGACCUGCGUUGUAUUAGCUAGUUGGUGAGGUAACGGCUCACCAAGGCAACGAUACAUAGCCGACCUGAGAGGGUGAUCGGCCACACUGGGACUGAUACACGGCCCAGACUCCUACGGGAGGCAGCAGUAGGGAAUCUUCGGCAAUGGACGGAAGUCUGACCGAGCAACGCCGCGUGAGUGAAGAAGGUUUUCGGAUCGUAAAGCUCUGUUGUAAGAGAAGAACGAGUGUGAGAGUGGAAAGUUCACACUGUGACGGUAUCUUACCAGAAAGGGACGGCUAACUACGUG
Molecule: ribosomal RNA, 497 nt
Filed under: uncultured bacterium
Lineage: Bacteria
Description: partial 16S ribosomal RNA
Rfam family: Bacterial small subunit ribosomal RNA
Source: RNAcentral